Molecule: non-coding RNA, 109 nt
Organism: Acanthosepion pharaonis
Lineage: Eukaryota; Metazoa; Mollusca; Cephalopoda; Sepiida; Sepiidae
Source: the annotation of a GenBank genome assembly
UUACGGCCACAUCGUAUUGAAACACCGGUUCCCGUACAAUCGCCGAUGUUAAACAACGUCGAGCCUGGUCAGUACCUAGUUGAGUAACCGCUUGGCAAUGCCAGGGGUU